RNAcentral lists this ribosomal RNA (451 nucleotides) under uncultured Acinetobacter sp. RNAcentral's name for it is "bacterial SSU rRNA". It matches the Rfam family "Bacterial small subunit ribosomal RNA", at positions 354 to 796 of the family's 1533-position model. The record is from RNAcentral. Lineage: Bacteria; Pseudomonadati; Pseudomonadota; Gammaproteobacteria; Moraxellales; Moraxellaceae.
GUGGGGAAUAUUGGACAAUGGGCGGAAGCCUGAUCCAGCCAUGCCGCGUGUGUGAAGAAGGCCUUUUGGUUGUAAAGCACUUUAAGCGAGGAGGAGGCUCCUUUAGUUAAUACCUAAAGUGAGUGGACGUUACUCGCAGAAUAAGCACCGGCUAACUCUGUGCCAGCAGCCGCGGUAAUACAGAGGGUGCGAGCGUUAAUCGGAUUUACUGGGCGUAAAGCGUGCGUAGGCGGCUUUUUAAGUCGGAUGUGAAAUCCCUGAGCUUAACUUAGGAAUUGCAUUCGAUACUGGAAAGCUAGAGUAUGGGAGAGGAUGGUAGAAUUCCAGGUGUAGCGGUGAAAUGCGUAGAGAUCUGGAGGAAUACCGAUGGCGAAGGCAGCCAUCUGGCCUAAUACUGACGCUGAGGUACGAAAGCAUGGGGAGCAAACAGGAUUAGAAACCCGAGUAGUCC